RNAcentral lists this ribosomal RNA (233 nucleotides) under uncultured bacterium. RNAcentral's name for it is "partial 16S ribosomal RNA". It matches the Rfam family "Bacterial small subunit ribosomal RNA", at positions 118 to 351 of the family's 1533-position model. The record is from RNAcentral.
UGGGCAAUCUGCCCUGCACUCUGGGACAAGCCCUGGAAACGGGGUCUAAUACCGGAUGAUACCUGUCCCUGCAUGGGGGUGGGUUGAAAGCUCCGGCGGUGCAGGAUGAGCCCGCGGCCUAUCAGCUUGUUGGUGGGGUGAUGGCCUACCAAAGCGACGACGGGUAGCCGGCCUGAGAGGGCGACCGGCCACACUGGGACUGAGACACGGCCCAGACUCCGUACGGGAGGCAG